Picea glauca (white spruce) is the source of this 47-nucleotide non-coding RNA. The record is from Rfam. NCBI's taxonomy places the organism in Eukaryota, Viridiplantae, Streptophyta, Pinopsida, Pinales, Pinaceae.
UAAAUGGUGUCUUUAGACACCAACUCUCUCUCUCUUGAAAUUCAUAG